CACACCCGGAGAACUGAAACAUCUUAGUACCCGGAGGAAGAGAAAGAAAAUUCGAUUCCCUUAGUAGCGGCGAGCGAAACGGGAAGAGCCCAAACCAACAAGCUUGCUUGUUGGGGUUGUAGGACACUCUAUACGGAGUUACAAAGGACGACAUUAGACGAAUCAUCUGGAAAGAUGAAUCAAAGAAGGUAAUAAUCCUGUAGUCGAAAAUGUUGUCUCUCUUGAGUGGAUCCUGAGUACGACGGAGCACGUGAAAUUCCGUCGGAAUCUGGGAGGACCAUCUCCUAAGGCUAAAUACUCUCUAGUGACCGAUAGUGAACCAGUACCGUGAGGGAAAGGUGAAAAGCACCCCGGAAGGGGAGUGAAAUAGAACCUGAAACCGUGUGCUUACAAGUAGUCAGAGCCCGUUAAUGGGUGAUGGCGUGCCUUUUGUAGAAUGAACCGGCGAGUUACGAUUUGAUGCAAGGUUAAGCAGUAAAUGUGGAGCCGUAGCGAAAGCGAGUCUGAAUAGGGCGUUUAGUA
RNAcentral lists this ribosomal RNA (522 nucleotides) under Staphylococcus aureus. Its description in RNAcentral is "partial 23S ribosomal RNA". It matches the Rfam family "Bacterial large subunit ribosomal RNA", at positions 180 to 701 of the family's 2925-position model. Lineage: Bacteria; Bacillati; Bacillota; Bacilli; Caryophanales; Staphylococcaceae. The record is from RNAcentral.